This 1254-nucleotide ribosomal RNA is filed under the name uncultured bacterium. RNAcentral's name for it is "bacterial SSU rRNA". It matches the Rfam family "Bacterial small subunit ribosomal RNA", at positions 129 to 1387 of the family's 1533-position model. The record is from RNAcentral.
CCUUUAACAGGGGGAUAACACUGAGAAAUUGGUACUAAUACCCCAUAAUAUCAUAGAAGGCAUCUUUUAUGGUUGAAAAUUCCGAUGGUUAGAGAUGGGCAUGCGUUGUAUUAGCUAGUUGGUGGGGUAACGGCUCACCAAGGCGACGAUACAUAGGGGGACUGAGAGGUUAACCCCCCACACUGGUACUGAGACACGGACCAGACUCCUACGGGAGGCAGCAGUGAGGAAUAUUGGUCAAUGGACGCAAGUCUGAACCAGCCAUGCCGCGUGCAGGAUGACGGCUCUAUGAGUUGUAAACUGCUUUUGUACGAGGGUAAACGCAGAUACGUGUAUCUGUCUGAAAGUAUCGUACGAAUAAGGAUCGGCUAACUCCGUGCCAGCAGCCGCGGUAAUACGGAGGAUUCAAGCGUUAUCCGGAUUUAUUGGGUUUAAAGGGUGCGUAGGCGGUUUGAUAAGUUAGAGGUGAAAUUUCGGGGCUCAACCCUGAACGUGCCUCUAAUACUGUUGAGCUAGAGAGUAGUUGCGGUAGGCGGAAUGUAUGGUGUAGCGGUGAAAUGCUUAGAGAUCAUACAGAACACCGAUUGCGAAGGCAGCUUACCAAACUAUAUCUGACGUUGAGGCACGAAAGCGUGGGGAGCAAACAGGAUUAGAUACCCUGGUAGUCCACGCAGUAAACGAUGAUAACUCGUUGUCGGCGAUACACAGUCGGUGACUAAGCGAAAGCGAUAAGUUAUCCACCUGGGGAGUACGUUCGCAAGAAUGAAACUCAAAGGAAUUGACGGGGGCCCGCACAAGCGGAGGAACAUGUGGUUUAAUUCGAUGAUACGCGAGGAACCUUACCCGGGCUUGAAAGUUAGCGACGAUUCUUGAAAGAGGAUUUCCCUUCGGGGCGCGAAACUAGGUGCUGCAUGGUUGUCGUCAGCUCGUGCCGUGAGGUGUCGGGUUAAGUCCCAUAACGAGCGCAACCCCUACCGUUAGUUGCCAUCAGGUGAAGCUGGGCACUCUGGCGGGACUGCCGGUGUAAGCCGAGAGGAAGGUGGGGAUGACGUCAAAUCAGCACGGCCCUUACGUCCGGGGCUACACACGUGUUACAAUGGUAGGUACAGAGGGCAGCUACCCAGCGAUGGGAUGCGAAUCUCGAAAGCCUAUCUCAGUUCGGAUUGGAGGCUGAAACCCGCCUCCAUGAAGUUGGAUUCGCUAGUAAUCGCGCAUCAGCCAUGGCGCGGUGAAUAAAAAGCCGGGCCUUGUACA